AUUGAACGCUGGCGGCAGGCUUAACACAUGCAAGUCGAACGAGUGGCGGACGGGUGAGUAAUGCUUGGGCAUCUAGCUUAUGGAGGGGGAUAACUACGGGAAACUGUAGCUAAUACCGCGUACCAUAGGCUGAGCCCAAGUGGGAUUAGGUAGUUGGUGAGGUAAAGGCUCACCAAGCAGACCAUCUCUAGCUGGGCUGAGAGGAUGACCAGCCAAACGGGGACUGAGACACGGCCCAGACUCCUACGGGAGGCAGCAGGGGGGAAUAUUGGGCAAUGGGGGGAACCUGACGCAGCAACGCCGCGUGAGUGAUGACGGCCUUCGGGUUGUAAAGCUCUGUUGAUCGGGACGCGGUACCGGAAUAGAAAGCCACGGCUAACUACGUGCCAGCAGCCGCGGUAAUUC
RNAcentral lists this ribosomal RNA (405 nucleotides) under uncultured bacterium. RNAcentral's name for it is "partial 16S ribosomal RNA". It matches the Rfam family "Bacterial small subunit ribosomal RNA", at positions 29 to 526 of the family's 1533-position model. The record is from RNAcentral.